ACAUGCAGUCGAGCGGACAGAUGGGAGCUUGCUCCCUGAUGUUAGCGGCGGACGGGUGAGUAACACGUGGGUAACCUGCCUGUAAGACUGGGAUAACUCCGGGAAACCGGGGCUAAUACCGGAUGUUUGUUUGAACCGCAUGGUUCAAACAUAAAAGGUGGCUUCGGCUACCACUUACAGAUGGACCCGCGGCGCAUUAGCUAGUUCGGUGAGGUAACGUCUCACCAAGGCAACGAUGCGUAGCGACCUGAGAGGGGGAACAACUCUACUGGAACUGAGACACGGUCCAGAUCUAUACGGGAGGCAGCAGUAGGGAAUCUUCCGCAAUGGACGAAAGUCUGACGGAGCAACGCCGCGUGAGUGAUGAAGGUUUUCGGAUCGUAAAGCUCUGUUGUUAGGGAAGAACAAGUACCGUUCGAAUAGGGCGGUACCUUGACGGUACCUAACCAGAAAGCCACGGCUAACUACGUGCCAGCAGCCGCGGUAAUACGUAGGUGGCAAGCGUUGUCCGGAAUUAUUGGGCGUAAAGGGCUCGCAGGCGGUUUCUUAAGUCUGAUGUGAAAGCCCCCGGCUCAACCGGGGAGGGUCAUUGGAAACUGGGGAACUUGAGUGCAGAAGAGGAGAGUGGAAUUCCACGUGUAGCGGUGAAAUGCGUAGAGAUGUGGAGGAACACCAGUGGCGAAGGCGACUCUCUGGUCUGUAACUGACGCUGAGGAGCGAAAGCGUGGGGAGCGAACAGGAUUAGAUACCCUGGUAGUCCACGCCGUAAACGAUGAGUGCUAAGUGUUAGGGGGUUUCCGCCCCUUAGUGCUGCAGCUAACGCAUUAAGCACUCCGCCUGGGGAGUACGGUCGCAAGACUGAAACUCAAAGGAAUUGACGGGGGCCCGCACAAGCGGUGGAGCAUGUGGUUUAAUUCGAAGCAACGCGAAGAACCUUACCAGGUCUUGACAUCCUCUGACAAUCCUAGAGAUAGGACGUCCCCUUCGGGGGCAGAGUGACAAGUGGUGCAUGGUUUUUCGUCAGCCCCGGGUCGGGAGAAGGUUGGGUUAAGUCCCCGCAACGAGGGGCAACCCUUGGAUUUUAGUUGCC
This 1090-nucleotide ribosomal RNA is filed under the name Bacillus subtilis. RNAcentral describes it as "bacterial SSU rRNA". It matches the Rfam family "Bacterial small subunit ribosomal RNA", at positions 53 to 1119 of the family's 1533-position model. Lineage: Bacteria; Bacillati; Bacillota; Bacilli; Caryophanales; Bacillaceae. The record is from RNAcentral.